UACGAAGGGGGCUAGCGUUGUUCGGAAUCACUGGGCGUAAAGGGCGCGUAGGCGGCCGGUCAAGUCGGGGGUGAAAGCCUGUGGCUCAACCACAGAAUUGCGUUCGAUACUGUUUGGCUUGAGACCGGAAGAGGUAAGUGGAACUGCGAGUGUAGAGGUGAAAUGCGUAGAUAUUCGCAAGAACACCAGUGGCGAAGGCGGCUUACUGGUCCGGUUCUGACGCUGAGGCGCGAAAGCGUGGGGAGCAAACAGG
RNAcentral lists this ribosomal RNA (253 nucleotides) under uncultured bacterium. RNAcentral's name for it is "partial 16S ribosomal RNA". It matches the Rfam family "Bacterial small subunit ribosomal RNA", at positions 524 to 776 of the family's 1533-position model. The record is from RNAcentral.